Molecule: ribosomal RNA, 474 nt
Filed under: uncultured bacterium
Lineage: Bacteria
Description: bacterial SSU rRNA
Rfam family: Bacterial small subunit ribosomal RNA
Source: RNAcentral
AAUGAACACUGGCGGCGUGCCUAACACAUGCAAGUCGGAUGUGCCGCAAGGUGCAUGGCAGACGGGUGAGUAACGCGUGGGGAAUCUACCUUUUUGUGGGGAAUAACGCUCCGAAAGGAGUGGUAAUACCGCAUGAGACCGCAGCCUGGGAUGGUUGUGGUGAAACCUGGGGACCGCAAGGCCUGGGGCAAAGAGAGGAUCCUGCGUCUGAUUAGCUAGUUGGCGGGGUAAUGGCCCACCAAGGCGACGAUCAGUAGCCGGCCUGAGAGGGUGAUCGGCCACACUGGAACUGAGACACGGGUCCAGACUCCUACGGGAGGCAGCAGUGGGGAAUUUUUGCGCAAUGGGCGAAAGCCUGACGCAGCAACGCCGCGUGGGUGAUGAAGGUCUUCGGACUGUAAAACCCUGUCGUCAGGGACGAAGGUGCGCACGUUAUAGCGUGUGUACUUGACAGUACCUGGAGAGGGAAGCCCC